GAACUAAAGAGUUUGAUCCUGGCUCAGAUUGAACGCUGGCGGCAUGCUUUACACAUGCAAGUCGAACGGUAACAGGCCGCAAGGUGCUGACGAGUGGCGAACGGGUGAGUAAUGUAUCGGAACGUGCCCAGUCGUGGGGGAUAACGCAGCGAAAGCUGCGCUAAUACCGCAUACGAUCUAUGGAUGAAAGCGGGGGACCGUAAGGCCUCGCGCGAUUGGAGCGGCCGAUAUCAGAUUAGGUAGUUGGUGGGGUAAAGGCUCACCAAGCCAACGAUCUGUAGCUGGUCUGAGAGGACGACCAGCCACACUGGGACUGAGACACGGCCCAGACUCCUACGGGAGGCAGCAGUGGGGAAUUUUGGACAAUGGGCGCAAGCCUGAUCCAGCAAUGCCGCGUGCAGGAAGAAGGCCUUCGGGUUGUAAACUGCUUUUGUACGGAACGAAACGGUCCUGGUUAAUACCUGGGGCUAAUGACGGUACCGUAAGAAUAAGCACCGGCUAACUACGUGCCAGCAGCCGCGGUAAUACGUAGGGUGCAAGCGUUAAUCGGAAUUACUGGGCGUAAAGCGUGCGCAGGCGGUUUUGUAAGACAGGCGUGAAAUCCCCGGGCUUAACCUGGGAAUGGCGCUUGUGACUGCAAAGCUGGAGUGCGGCAGAGGGGGAUGGAAUUCCGCGUGUAGCAGUGAAAUGCGUAGAUAUGCGGAGGAACACCGAUGGCGAAGGCAAUCCCCUGGGCCUGCACUGACGCUCAUGCACGAAAGCGUGGGGAGCUAACAGGAUUAGAUACCCUGGUAGUCCACGCCCUAAACGAUGAAUGCUAGUCGUCGGGAAGCUCGUCUUUUCGGUGACGCACUUAACAGAUUAAGCAUUCCGCCUGGGGAGUACGGUCGCAAGAUUAAAACUCAAAGGAAUAGACGGGGACCCGCACAAGUGGUGGAGCAUGUGGUUUAAUUCGAAGAUACACGAAGAACCUUACCUGGCCUUGACAUCCCAAGAACUUUCCAGAGAUGGAUUGGUGCUAGCUUGCUAGAACUUGGUGACAGGUGCUGCACGGCUGUCGUCAGCUCGUGUCGUGAGAUGUUGGGUUAAGUCCCGCAACGAGCGCAACCCUCGUCUUUAGUUGCUAACAGUUCGGCUGAGCACUCUAAAGAGACUGCCUCCGUAAGGAGGAGGAAGGUGAGGACGACGUCAAGUCAUCAUGGCCCUUACGGCCAGGGCUACACACGUGCUACAAUGGGGCGUACAGAGAGCUGCAAUACCGCGAGGUGGAGCCAAUCUCUUAAAGCGUCUCUCAGUUCGGAUUGUUCUCUGCAACUCGAGAACAUGAAGCUGGAAUCACUAGUAAUCGCAGAUCAGCUAUGCUGCGGUGAAUACGUUCCCGGGUCUUGUACUCACCGCCCGUCACACCAUGGGAGUUGAUUUCACCCGAAAUCGGGAUGCCAAACUGGCUACCGCUUACGGUGGAAUUAGCGACUGGGGUGAAGUCGUAACAAGGUAACCGUAGGAGAACCUGCGGUUGGAUCACCUCCUUU
This 1532-nucleotide ribosomal RNA is filed under the name Sulfuricurvum sp. RNAcentral describes it as "bacterial SSU rRNA". It matches the Rfam family "Bacterial small subunit ribosomal RNA". Lineage: Bacteria; Pseudomonadati; Campylobacterota; Epsilonproteobacteria; Campylobacterales; Sulfurimonadaceae. The record is from RNAcentral.